UUGACCUCGAAUCAGGUAGGAAUAC
This 25-nucleotide ribosomal RNA is filed under the name Neurospora dodgei. RNAcentral describes it as "partial 28S ribosomal RNA". The record is from RNAcentral. Lineage: Eukaryota; Fungi; Ascomycota; Sordariomycetes; Sordariales; Sordariaceae. RNAcentral also lists the same sequence under 2 other names.